This 75-nucleotide transfer RNA is filed under the name Rhodospirillaceae bacterium. RNAcentral describes it as "tRNA-OTHER". It matches the Rfam family "tRNA". From Rfam's summary of the family: Transfer RNA (tRNA) molecules are approximately 80 nucleotides in length. Lineage: Bacteria; Pseudomonadati; Pseudomonadota; Alphaproteobacteria; Rhodospirillales; Rhodospirillaceae. The record is from RNAcentral.
GAGCUCAUAGCUCAGGUGGUAGAGCAAUUGACUUUUAUCAGCGGGUCCGAGGUGCGAAUCCUUGUGCGCCCAACA